Molecule: ribosomal RNA, 253 nt
Filed under: uncultured bacterium
Lineage: Bacteria
Description: partial 16S ribosomal RNA
Rfam family: Bacterial small subunit ribosomal RNA
Source: RNAcentral
UACGUAGGUGGCAAGCGCUAUCCGGAAUUAUUGGGCGUAAAGCGCGCGCAGGCGGCUUUUUAAGUCUGACGUGAAAGCCCACGGCUCAACCGUGGAGGGUCAUUGGAAACUGGGAGACUUGAGUGCAGAAGAGGAGAGUGGAAUUCCAUGUGUAGCGGUGAAAUGCGUAGAGAUAUGGAGGAACACCAGUGGCGAAGGCGACUUUCUGGUCCGUAACUGACACUGAGGCGCGAAAGCGUGGGGAGCAAACAGG